GUGGAUUAGAUACCCUAGUAGUCCACGCCCUAAACGAUGUCAACUAGUUGUUGGGGGGGUAAAACCCUUUAGUAACGUAGCUAACGCGUGAAGUUGACCGCCUGGGGAGUACGGCCGCAAGGUUAAAACUCAAAGGAAUUGACGGGGACCCGCACAAGCGGUGGAUGAUGUGGAUUAAUUCGAUGCAACGCGAAAAACCUUACCUACCCUUGACAUGUUCAGAAGCUUGAAGAGAUUUGAGUGUGCCCGAAAGGGAACUGAAACACAGGUGCUGCACGGCCGUCGACAACU
Molecule: ribosomal RNA, 291 nt
Filed under: uncultured bacterium
Lineage: Bacteria
Description: partial 16S ribosomal RNA
Rfam family: Bacterial small subunit ribosomal RNA
Source: RNAcentral